AAUAUGUCCACUCUAAUGCUUUUUUAUAUAUAAUUUUCCAAUAUCUUAGCCUCGCUUGUGGACUAGAACAAAGUUUUAUUAUCCUAGUACUUAAAGUAAUUAACAUUUUAACGUACUCGAGAAACGUAAAACUACAAAA
Molecule: small nucleolar RNA, 139 nt
Organism: Lucilia sericata (common green bottle fly)
Lineage: Eukaryota; Metazoa; Arthropoda; Insecta; Diptera; Calliphoridae
Product: small nucleolar RNA psi28S-1192
Exons: 1
Source: RefSeq, a predicted model, not a curated record